Mercenaria mercenaria is the source of this 364-nucleotide long non-coding RNA. RefSeq lists it as uncharacterized. The transcript has 4 exons. Lineage: Eukaryota; Metazoa; Mollusca; Bivalvia; Venerida; Veneridae. The record is from RefSeq and is a predicted model, not a curated record.
UCUAAACUUAAAAUGACUUGGAACAGUCAAUCUAACCAAAACAUUGCAGGUUCUGAUGUAAAAAGGCGAAAUCACAAAAAAAAGUUCUGGGCCUUCAUCUGGACACAGUCGCACAACUUUAGCCGAUACAACUAGUACAUCAAAGUCACAGUCCACUUCCGGCGGAACUAACCGAUCUUUCUGGGAAACAUCAGACUCUGGAGCGCCCUCUAGUAGUUCGUCUGCGUUCCUGAAAAGCUGGUGAUACAGCGCCACCUGGAAGAAUGAGACAAACUUCACAGUCUAACUUCGGGGAAAUCAACCGCAAACUUAACCAUUUAAAUCUCUUUGGAUUUUGUUGGAAGGAAUCUGACCCUGAUAGUAC